This 69-nucleotide transfer RNA is filed under the name Prochlorococcus marinus str. AS9601. RNAcentral's name for it is "tRNA-Pro". The record is from RNAcentral. Lineage: Bacteria; Bacillati; Cyanobacteriota; Cyanophyceae; Synechococcales; Prochlorococcaceae.
UAGUGCUUGCGAUAGGUGGGGAAGUGCUUUGGGAGCACUAGGUCGCAGGUUCGAAUCCUGUCGCCCCGA